Molecule: ribosomal RNA, 226 nt
Filed under: Escherichia coli
Lineage: Bacteria; Pseudomonadati; Pseudomonadota; Gammaproteobacteria; Enterobacterales; Enterobacteriaceae
Also listed under: 4 other names
Description: partial 16S ribosomal RNA
Rfam family: Bacterial small subunit ribosomal RNA
Source: RNAcentral
AAAUUGAAGAGUUUGAUCAUGGCUCAGAUUGAACGCUGGCGGCAGGCCUAACACAUGCAAGUCGAACGGUAACAGGAAGCAGCUUGCUGCUUCGCUGACGAGUGGCGGACGGGUGAGUAAUGUCUGGGAAACUGCCUGAUGGAGGGGGAUAACUACUGGAAACGGUAGCUAAUACCGCAUAACGUCGCAAGACCAAAGAGGGGGACCUUCGGGCCUCUUGCCAUCG